Molecule: long non-coding RNA, 1488 nt
Organism: Gambusia affinis (western mosquitofish)
Lineage: Eukaryota; Metazoa; Chordata; Actinopteri; Cyprinodontiformes; Poeciliidae
Exons: 3
Source: RefSeq, a predicted model, not a curated record
ACUGAUUUUUAGACAAAAAUAAAGACAUAAAACAACAUCAAAGUUCGCCCCAGCGCCGCAGAUUGCACCCAAGAAACGCCGCCUGGCGCAAGAGGACGCCACCGAGGGGAAAGAAAGUCGCUCCCGGUCAGAUCAGAACUUUACUUUUCUUUUCGGGGAUUUUUGGUGGUACCACUCUUUUUUCUUAUCUUUCUUUUGGGGUGCGGGGAAGGACUUGAUGUUUUGGAUUAUUCUUUUGGAUUCGGACUUUGGAUUAAAACAGAGAAAUACUUCCAGGAAAUCCUUUGCGGACAUUAUUCUCUUUAAAAAAGAACACAAAUUUUUGAACACUUAAUUAUUUAGGGUUUUUUUGCUGAUAGAAACUAAGUGAUUUAAAUCUAACCUAUAAUUAUUUCUUGAGGGAUUUUUGGUUACAGAUCAAUUUAUCAGAAUAACUAUUAUUUCUUAGUAUUGUGAUUUUUGAAUAAAUAAUUGUUGCUAAAAAUCAACAUGGUUCAUAUUGAGCGGUUGGAUAUUUAUUUUCUUAUCAAGUUAAAUGGUAUAACAUAUUUUACCUGUUUCCUUGCAACAGAUCCCCACUGGGUGUAUUAUGAGUUCCGUUUUAAAUCAAGCUGAAUUGUGCAACCCGACUUGAUGAUCUGUGCAGUUCUUUCUUUCAGAUCUCACAAUUCUAGAAUUGUGCCGCUGAGGGUGGCAACAUGUUGAAGUAGUUCUGUGUUCCUUCCAGACUUUUUCUUUUUUUCAAACAUUCAUUCCUGCUUUUUUUGAAGAAAAUAGCUUUUUUGGACAGCUAUUCUUUGUUUUGGAUUUUGUGUGGUUGGACUAUUCUUAAGGCAAUAGUAUUUUUGCGAUCUUGUUAUGCUGUGUAACCAUAGCAACAGGGUAGUGUACAACAAGGAGCAGCUCAUCAAUGUCAGAAAAGCUCAAAUAAUAGCACAACUGAAGCCAGAAAUCCCAGAGGAGUAGAAAAGGAGGCGUCGUGGAUGCAGAGCAGGAGCAAAAAGGAAAGAAAGAAGGAGGAAAUUCAAGCUAUCUCUUCCAUCCAUCAUAAUGGGCAACGUAAGAUAGUUAGCAAACGAGAUGGAUGAACUUCAACCCCCAACAAGGACUCAGCAAGAAUGUAAGGAAUGCAGCACAAUGUGUUUUACGGAGACACGGCUGCAGGAUUAUAUCCCCGACUCCAACGUCUCUCUGCCAGGCUUCGUGUGAGCAGACAGAGAUUUAGAGAGCAGCAGGAAAAGCAAGAGAGGUGGAUUAGCAGUGUCUGUGAACAACAGAUGGUGUCAUCAGGACUUUACUGUGAAAAAAUAGGCUCCAUGACGUCAGCUCUGCAAAACACUCAGCUAAGGGGAAGAGAGGAAGAACAGAGCAAGCAAGCAAGAGAGUGAGUGGCUGCUUGGAGUCCAAAAUCCCAACAGAAGGAAACCAUCUAGCACUGCGUAAUCCCCAUCCUGCUGGGCAAUUCUGAGAGCUGAACAACCAAAAAAU